GAUCAUGAAUGCUAUGCUUUAUGUGAUUUGGGUGCUAGCGUUUCCACGAUUCCAAAGACUUUGUGUGAUUUGUUAGGUUUCCGUGAUUUUGAUGAUUGCUCUCUAAACUUGCACCUUGCGAAUUCCACUAUUAAGAAACCUAUGGGAAGAAUUAAUGAUGUUCUUAUUGUUGCAAAUAGGAAUUAUGUGCCCGUAGAUAUUAUUGUUCUUGACAUAGAUUGCAAUCCUUCAUGUCCUAUUAUUCUUGGUAGACCUUUCCUUAGAACGAUUGAUGCAAUUAUUGAUAUGAAGGAAGGAAAUAUUAGAUUCCAAUUUCCAUUAAGGAAAGGCAUGGAACACUUUCCUAGAAAGAAAUUAAAUUACCUUAUGAAUCUAUUAUGA
This 381-nucleotide ribosomal RNA is filed under the name Triticum aestivum (bread wheat). Its description in RNAcentral is "partial small subunit ribosomal RNA". The record is from RNAcentral. Lineage: Eukaryota; Viridiplantae; Streptophyta; Magnoliopsida; Poales; Poaceae.